AGUGAACGCUGGCGGUAGGCCUAACACAUGCCAGUCGAACGGCAGCACAGUAAGAGCUUGCUCUUACGGGUGGCGAGUGGCGGACGGGUGAGGAAUACAUCGGAAUCUACUUUUUCGUGGGGGAUAACGUAGGGAAACUUACGCUAAUACCGCAUACGACCUACGGGUGAAAGCAGGGGAUCUUCGGACCUUGCGCGAUUGAAUGAGCCGAUGUCGGAUUAGCUAGUUGGCGGGGUAAAGGCCCACCAAGGCGACGAUCUGUAGCUGGUCUGAGAGGAUGAUCAGCCACACUGGAACUGAGACACGGUCCAGACUCCUACGGGAGGCAGCAGUGGGGAAUAUUGGACAAUGGGCGCAAGCCUGAUCCAGCCAUACCGCGUGGGUGAAGAAGGCCUUCGGGUUGUAAAGCCCUUUUGUUGGGAAAGAAAAGCAGCAGGUUAAUACCCCGCUGUUCUGACGGUACCCAAAGAAUAAGCACCGGCUAACUUCGUG
This 492-nucleotide ribosomal RNA is filed under the name uncultured bacterium. RNAcentral describes it as "partial 16S ribosomal RNA". It matches the Rfam family "Bacterial small subunit ribosomal RNA", at positions 29 to 507 of the family's 1533-position model. The record is from RNAcentral.